This 2123-nucleotide long non-coding RNA is filed under the name Salvia miltiorrhiza (redroot sage). Its description in RNAcentral is "long non-coding RNA (SMIL_LNC007599)". Lineage: Eukaryota; Viridiplantae; Streptophyta; Magnoliopsida; Lamiales; Lamiaceae. The record is from RNAcentral.
UGCUUGCUUGCGGUGUAGUAACUUAUUUGAUUUAUAUAUCUAUACCUCAUGAAAUUUACGGUUUUGGGUUCAAUUCCUGUAAUACCCCGUUUCCCGAGCUAAAUUUAGAAUUUAUUUUAAACUUAGAUUUAAGAUGAUUCACGCCGGAAUGAGAAAAAAAAUUUAUUUUUAAUUCCAACAAAAAUGAUUUACAAAAACAUUUGUAAAUUUAGUUAUUGAAUUUAUAUGCAUUGCAUAUUUAUUUAAUUUAGCAUUCAAGCAUUUUCACGAGCUUUUAAUUAGUAAACCCUGAAGAUUAUUACAGUUUUCAUAGUACAACCCGAAAGACUUUUUAUUUUAUUUUAUUUAAUUCAAUAUCUACCUACUCCCAUACCCACUACACCCACCUACUCCCAUACCCACUACACCCACCUUUUCGCACUUACAUAGCUGGGUUGAUGCUUCCAUCUUCCACCCACAACAUCAAUUCAAGAAUGCUUUGGAAUGCUUUGCAGAUCACUGAAGCCUCAGCCAACUCAAAGAACCAUCACAAGGUUUCAUCUUUUAAAAAACUUCACUACUUGUUUUUAUAGUAUUCUCCAUUUAUUUCAGAACACACAAACUUCAAGAAUCACACCCAUACACACAUUCAUCUACAAUAACUGUUAUACGAAAACAUAUAUGCAUUCAUGAUCUGUGUACAUAUAUACAUAUAUAUAUGAAGCCUGAUUAAAUGAAAAUAGAAUAAAAUGAGUUUUGAAGCCUUAAAUUUAUCUUCAAUUUUGGAGUGGGUUGUGUGCGAUUGGAGUCGGGGUCGUCAGUUGAUGCCGGAGGUCGGAGAUGGCUGUGAGUUGGGAAGGGGAUGACGGCGAUGGCGGGCGUUUUUCGCCGCUGUUCGACCAAGAGAGAGAGAGAUGCGAGGGCUGGGUGUUGUGCUCUGUUCUCACAGAGAGAGCGAAGUAUGAGUGAGUUGAGUCGAGGGAGGUGACGGCGGCGGUUGUGAACUGCUGCUGUCUGCCGGAGUCAAGCGAAAGAAAAAAAAGGGAGGUCGUUCGGUCGGCGGUGGCCUUGAUGCUACCGUCUGACUGAGACGAGGGAGGCCAGGCGGCGGCUGCUAUCACCGGGGAAAGGCGGCGGAUCUGCUGCGAGGACGCCGGAGACGGCGGCGCUCCGCGGCAGUUGCGCCUGCUGCGCCUUGUGCCGGCAGUUGAGAGAGUUGAGGGAGAGGAGAGUCAAGGGGCGGCGGCGUGAUCGGCGAUGGUUGCCGUCGUCCGCCGGAGGAGAUUCGAGGGAGAAAGAGAGGCGGAGCCUUGGAGAGAGAAAGCUGCGUAAGGUUGUGAGUGUGUGUGCGUAGCGGCUGAAGGGGGGAGAAGAAGGGAAGGGGGUUGGGCUUUGAGGGACUUGGGCCGAUUUUUAUUAGUGAUGGGCCGAUUUUUUAAANAAAACUUUUAGAACUUACACAUUAAUUCCUUAUUACUUGGCCAACACAUGAGUCAAAAACUUCAAAAUUUCACAAUGUUCUUACGCUCAUUUGGUUUGUGCAUAAUAGUACAAAAGCAGGAUUGACUUUAAAGAAAACGGUCAUUGAGAACUAGUUCAAAUAAUAAAGUUUAGAUACUUAAAUAUUCUUUUUUAUUAAAAAGUACUGAGUUUAAUUAUGUUUAUGUCAUAUAGUAAUGUAGAGAUGUAGUGGUAUAGAGGUCUUGCUUGCUUGCUUGCGGUGUAGUAACUUAUUUGAUUUAUAUAUCUAUACCUCAUGAAAUUUACGGUUUUGGUUUCAAUUCCACUUACGUCAUGCGGUAUAGUAGUGUAGAGGUCUCAGCUGCGUGCAAUGUAGUUUUUUUUUUUUUUUUGUGGUGUAGAGGUGCAUACGAUGUAGUUUCCCACAUUUGUGUGGUGUAGAGGUCCCGCCUGCGUGCAGUGUAAUGACUUAUUUGAUUAUAUAUUUAUACCUCGUGUAAUGCAAGGUCAUGGGUCCAAUUCUGUUUGCGUGGUGUAUAAUAUAGGUCCCGUCUGCGUGCGAUGUAGUUUUUCACCUUUGUGUGGUAUAGAGCUGUAAAUGUGUGUGCGAUGUAGUUUCCCAUCUUUAUGUAGUGUAGAGGUGUAAAGAUGUACAGAUCCCAUCUGGAUACGAUGCAAUGACU